Molecule: ribosomal RNA, 492 nt
Filed under: uncultured bacterium
Lineage: Bacteria
Description: partial 16S ribosomal RNA
Rfam family: Bacterial small subunit ribosomal RNA
Source: RNAcentral
AGUGAACGCUGGCGGUAGGCCUAACACAUGCAAGUCGAACGGCAGCACAGUAAGAGCUUGCUCUUACGGGUGGCGAGUGGCGGACGGGUGAGGAAUACAUCGGAAUCUACUUUUUUGUGGGGGAUAACGUAGGGAAACUUACGCUAAUACCGCAUACGACCUACGGGUGAAAGCAGGGGAACUUCGGACCUUGCGCGAUUGAAUGAGCCGAUGUCGGAUUAGCUAGUUGGCGGGGUAAAGGCCCACCACGGCGACGAUCCGUAGCUGGUCUGAGAGGAUGAUCAGCCACACUGGAACUGAGACACGGUCCAGACUCCUACGGGAGGCAGCAGUGGGGAAUAUUGGACAAUGGGCGCAAGCCUGAUCCAGCCAUACCGCGUGGGUGAAGAAGGCCUUCGGGUUGUAAAGCCCUUUUGUUGGGAAAGAAAAGCAGCAGGUUAAUACCCCGCUGUUCUGACGGUACCCAAAGAAUAAGCACCGGCUAACUUCGUG